Molecule: ribosomal RNA, 506 nt
Filed under: uncultured bacterium
Lineage: Bacteria
Description: partial 16S ribosomal RNA
Rfam family: Bacterial small subunit ribosomal RNA
Source: RNAcentral
AUUGAACGCUGGCGGCAGGCCUAACACAUGCAAGUCGAACGGUAACAGGAAACAGCUUGCUGUUUCGCUGACGAGUGGCGGACGGGUGAGUAAUGUCUGGGAAACUGCCUGAUGGAGGGGGAUAACUACUGGAAACGGUAGCUAAUACCGCAUAACGUCGCAAGACCAAAGAGGGGGACCUUCGGGCCUCUUGCCAUCGGAUGUGCCCAGAUGGGAUUAGCUAGUAGGUGGGGUAACGGCUCACCUAGGCGACGAUCCCUAGCUGGUCUGAGAGGAUGACCAGCCACACUGGAACGGAGACACGGUCCAGACUCCUACGGGAGGCAGCAGUGGGGAAUAUUGCACAAUGGGCGCAAGCCUGAUGCAGUCAUGCCGCGUGUAUGAAGAAGGCCUUCGGGUUGUAAAGUACUUUCAGCGGGGAGGAAGGGAGUAAAGUUAAUACCUUUGCUCAUUGACGUUACCCGCAGAAGAAGCACCGGCUAACUCCGUGCCAGCCGCCGCAGUAA